GCCCCAUUCCACUUAUAUGGGGUGCAACCUGCUCAAUGGCUGUAAAUAAAUAAACUAAUAACAGUUAAAUAGCCGCGGUAACUCUGACCGUGAUAAAGUAGCAUAAUCACUUGUCAUUUAAUUAAUGACUGGAAUGAAUGGUUUAACAAACCCUACUCUGUCUCAAUAAGAAAUUUUAUAAAAUUGAAAUUGUAGUGAAGAUGCUACAUAAAAAUUGUAAGACGAAAAGACCCUAUCGAGCUUUACUGAAUACUUAUAGUAUCACAAUUUGCAAAUAUACAAAAAUCUAUAGUAUGUAAGUAAGACAGUUUGGUUGGGGCGACCACCCUUAAAAAAGUAACAAGGGAAAUCUAAAAGUUAUAUAAUUAUGAUAUAUAACCUAACUGUAUAACAACUAUUAACACAGAUAUCAAGUGAUAGGACAUACUGACCCUUUGUAAUUUAUUUAAAAUACAAAGUCCUUGGAAAAAGUUACCGUAGGGAUAACAGGGUAAUAUUUUCAAAGAGUUCACAUCGAUGAAAAUGUUUGCCACCUCGAUGUUGAAUUGUGAUAUCCUAGAGGUGUAGCAGCUUCUAAGGGUUG
RNAcentral lists this ribosomal RNA (583 nucleotides) under Chrysaora chinensis. RNAcentral's name for it is "partial 16S large subunit ribosomal RNA". It matches the Rfam family "Bacterial large subunit ribosomal RNA", at positions 1831 to 2574 of the family's 2925-position model. The record is from RNAcentral. Lineage: Eukaryota; Metazoa; Cnidaria; Scyphozoa; Semaeostomeae; Pelagiidae.